CAACCUGAACUCAGUCGUGAUUACCCGCUGAACUUAAGCAUAUCAUUUAGCGGAGGAAAAGAAACUAAAAAGGAUUACCCUAGUAACGGCGAGUGAAACGGGAAGAGCCCAGCGCCGAAUCGAUCAGUCUUUGGCUGCUUCGAAAUGUGGCGUAUAGGUGUAGUCUUCCAGCAGUGUCGUAUGUCCGAAGUCCUUGCGAUUGAGGCCAUAAACCAGAGAGGGUGCGAGCCCCGUUCUGGAUAGCGGCGCUGUUGGUUCGACUGCUCCUUGGAGUCGGGUUGCUUGAAAGUGCAGCCUAAAGUGGGUGAUAAACUUCAUCUAAGGCUAAAUAUUGACUCGAUUGCGAUAGCGAACAAGUACCGUGAGGGAAAGUUGCAAAGGACUUUGAAGAGAGAGUUCAAGAGAACGUGAAAUCGCUGGAGUGGAACCGGAGACAGUUGAUGUUGCUUGGAGACAAUCUUGGUGGCUGAUCGCUUAGCUGUGAUCGCCGCCGGGAGUCGUUUCCUAUGCUACGCCGACGGCGUUGGCCGCUCGUUCUGGCCCGACAGUGUUGCCCAUCUCGCAAGAGACGGUGUCUUGUUGUCGGUCGUUGGUUCGUGGUGGCUAGCGUUUAGUUACGCUAGUGUGUGUGACGUCGGUGUGAAAGUCGACGACGUUUCCGACCCGUCUUGAAACACGGAUUACGGAGUGUUUGUCUGCUGCGAGUCAAAGGGUGUAAAAACCUUGCGGCGCAAUGAAAGUGAAGGUUAGUCUCGAACUGACCGACG
Molecule: non-coding RNA, 767 nt
Filed under: Caenorhabditis japonica
Lineage: Eukaryota; Metazoa; Nematoda; Chromadorea; Rhabditida; Rhabditidae
Description: Eukaryotic large subunit ribosomal RNA
Rfam family: Eukaryotic large subunit ribosomal RNA
Source: Rfam by way of RNAcentral